RNAcentral lists this ribosomal RNA (342 nucleotides) under uncultured bacterium. RNAcentral's name for it is "bacterial SSU rRNA". It matches the Rfam family "Bacterial small subunit ribosomal RNA", at positions 455 to 793 of the family's 1533-position model. The record is from RNAcentral.
CCCUCGUGAGGGUGCCUGACGGUACUGUAGGAAUAAGCACCGGCUAACUCCGUGCCAGCAGCCGCGGUAAUACGGAGGGUGCGAGCGUUAUCCGGAUUUAUUGGGUUUAAAGGGUCCGUAAGGCGGAUUAAUAAGUCAGUGGUGAAAUCCCAUCGCUUAACGAUGGAACUGCCAUUGAUACUGUUAGUCUUGAAUGAGGGUGCAGUGGUUGGAAGUGUGUAGUGUAGCGGUGAAAUGCAUAGAUAUUACACAGAACACCGAUUGCGAAGGCAGAUCACUAACCCUAAAUUGACGCUGAGGGACGAAAGCGUGGGGAGCGAACAGGAUUAGAUACCCUGGUAG